AUCUGAGGAGACAAGGCAGGAGGCCGUGGCUGUCCUGGGACCUCCUCCGAGGCUUUCUCACUGGCUUUUCGGGACAUGGCUUCUGAAAAGAUUUUUGGCACCUGUAGUGAAAACACCUAAAGGGAGUAAAGAGAAUCUCAGUCUGCUUGGGAUAGAAGAGCGCAUGCUUUGAGGAACAAAACCCCACCACCCUCCACUGCUCCAGAUAUCGGCCAUUCGUACCAGGUGUGGCCCUGCCCAUUCAGCUUGGGUCUUGAUUUAACUCCUGGAGCCUUAUAAAAGCUC
Molecule: long non-coding RNA, 285 nt
Organism: Choloepus didactylus (southern two-toed sloth)
Lineage: Eukaryota; Metazoa; Chordata; Mammalia; Pilosa; Megalonychidae
Exons: 3
Source: RefSeq, a predicted model, not a curated record